RNAcentral lists this long non-coding RNA (1942 nucleotides) under Brassica napus (rape). RNAcentral describes it as "long non-coding RNA (BNAP_LNC008631)". Lineage: Eukaryota; Viridiplantae; Streptophyta; Magnoliopsida; Brassicales; Brassicaceae. The record is from RNAcentral.
ACGGCUAUGGUAUAUAGAAAAGGUCUCAAGCUUUCGAGUAUAGCCAAGCAGAACCACACGAGCGGGGAGAUUGUGAACUACAUGGCGGUUGAUGUCCAGCGCAUAGGAGACUACUCGUGGUACCUUCAUGAUAUUUGGAUGCUUCCGAUGCAGAUAGUCCUCGCUCUCGCGAUCUUGUAUAAAAGCGUGGGGAUAGCGUCUGUAGCUACGUUGGUCGCGACGAUAAUCUCGAUUCUUGUGACCAUUCCUUUGGCUAAGGUUCAGGAAGAGUAUCAAGAUAAGCUGAUGGCUGCGAAAGACGAAAGAAUGAGGAAGACGUCGGAGUGUCUUAGGAACAUGAGGGUUCUGAAGCUGCAGGCGUGGGAGGAUCGGUAUAGAGUGAGAUUAGAAGAGAUGAGGGAAGAGGAGUACGGUUGGCUUCGGAGAGCGUUGUACUCGCAGGCCUUUGUUACCUUCAUCUUUUGGAGCUCACCGAUCUUUGUAUCAGCCGUUACAUUCGCUACUUCGAUAUUCCUAGGCACUCAGCUGACAGCUGGAGGUGUUCUCUCUGCUCUGGCGACGUUCAGGAUCCUCCAGGAACCGCUCAGGAACUUUCCUGAUCUGGUUUCGAUGAUGGCUCAGACUAAAGUCUCUCUUGAUAGGAUCUCCGGGUUCUUGCAGGAGGAAGAGCUUCAAGAAGACGCAACUGUUGUUAUCCCACGUGGGAAUUCGAAUGUAGCUAUAGAGAUUAGAGACGGUGUGUUUUGUUGGGAUCCGUUUUCUUCAAGGCCGACAUUGUCAGGAAUUCAGAUGAGAGUGGAGAAGGGUAUGCGCGUGGCUGUCUGCGGCACGGUUGGCUCUGGAAAAUCAAGUUUCAUCUCUUGCAUCCUCGGAGAAAUACCGAAAAUCUCUGGUGAAGUAAGUUAAUGCCUCCAAGCUUGCGGAGACCGUCACCACGCGUCAGUGGUACAUGGGGGUUGAUAUCUUGGGGAUGCACGUUAGAUCAGCUCUAACGGCUAUGGUAUAUAGAAAAGGUCUCAAGCUUUCGAGUAUAGCCAAGCAGAACCACACGAGCGGGGAGAUUGUGAACUACAUGGCGGUUGAUGUCCAGCGCAUAGGAGACUACUCGUGGUACCUUCAUGAUAUUUGGAUGCUUCCGAUGCAGAUAGUCCUCGCUCUCGCGAUCUUGUAUAAAAGCGUGGGGAUAGCGUCUGUAGCUACGUUGGUCGCGACGAUAAUCUCGAUUCUUGUGACCAUUCCUUUGGCUAAGGUUCAGGAAGAGUAUCAAGAUAAGCUGAUGGCUGCGAAAGACGAAAGAAUGAGGAAGACGUCGGAGUGUCUUAGGAACAUGAGGGUUCUGAAGCUGCAGGCGUGGGAGGAUCGGUAUAGAGUGAGAUUAGAAGAGAUGAGGGAAGAGGAGUACGGUUGGCUUCGGAGAGCGUUGUACUCGCAGGCCUUUGUUACCUUCAUCUUUUGGAGCUCACCGAUCUUUGUAUCAGCCGUUACAUUCGCUACUUCGAUAUUCCUAGGCACUCAGCUGACAGCUGGAGGUGUUCUCUCUGCUCUGGCGACGUUCAGGAUCCUCCAGGAACCGCUCAGGAACUUUCCUGAUCUGGUUUCGAUGAUGGCUCAGACUAAAGUCUCUCUUGAUAGGAUCUCCGGGUUCUUGCAGGAGGAAGAGCUUCAAGAAGACGCAACUGUUGUUAUCCCACGUGGGAAUUCGAAUGUAGCUAUAGAGAUUAGAGACGGUGUGUUUUGUUGGGAUCCGUUUUCUUCAAGGCCGACAUUGUCAGGAAUUCAGAUGAGAGUGGAGAAGGGUAUGCGCGUGGCUGUCUGCGGCACGGUUGGCUCUGGAAAAUCAAGUUUCAUCUCUUGCAUCCUCGGAGAAAUACCGAAAAUCUCUGGUGAAGUAAGUUAAUAGGUACUUAUUUUAUUAUUCGCUGACAAAAAAAAAAUCAUUAAU